Molecule: ribosomal RNA, 512 nt
Filed under: uncultured bacterium
Lineage: Bacteria
Description: partial 16S ribosomal RNA
Source: RNAcentral
GGAGUUAGCCGGUGCUUCUUCUGCGAGUAACGUCACAGAUGUAAGGUAUUAACUUACACCCUUUCCUCCUCGCUGAAAGUGCUUUACAACCCGAAGGCCUUCUUCACACACGCGGCAUGGCUGCAUCAGGGUUUCCCCCAUUGUGCAAUAUUCCCCACUGCUGCCUCCCGUAGGAGUCUGGGCCGUGUCUCAGUCCCAGUGUGGCUGAUCAUCCUCUCAGACCAGCUAGGGAUCGUCGCCUAGGUGAGCCUUUACCUCACCUACUAGCUAAUCCCACCUGGGCUUAAUCCAUCAGCGCAAGGCCCGAAGGUCCCCUGCUUUCCCCCGUAGGGCGUAUGCGGUAUUAGCAGUCGUUUCCAACUGUUAUCCCCCACAAAUGGGCAAAUUCCCAGGCAUUACUCACCCGUCCGCCGCUCGUCAUCUUCAAAAGCAAGCUUUUGAAAUGUUACCGCUCGACUUGCAUGUGUUAGGCCUGCCGCCAGCGUUCAAUCUGAGCCAUAAUCAAACUCUGA